CCUACGGGAGGCAGCAGUGGGGAAUAUUGCACAAUGGGGGAAACCCUGAUGCAGCGACGCCGCGUGAGUGACGAAGUAAUCCGUUAUGUAAAGCUCUAUCAGCAGGGAAGAAAAUUACGGUACCUGAGUAAGACGCCCCGGCUAACUACGUGCCAGCAGCCGCGGUAAGACGUAGGGGGCAAGCGUUAUCCGGAUUUACUGGGUGUAAAGGGAGCGUAGGCGGCAGUGCAAGUCUGGAGUGAAAGGCGGGGGCUCAACCCCCGGACUGCUCUGGAGACUGGACGGCUGGAGUGGAGGAGAGGUAAGUGGAAUUCCUAGUGUAGCGGUGAAAUGCGUAGAUAUUAGGAGGAACACCAGUGGCGAAGGCGGCUUACUGGACUGUAACUGACGUUGAGGCUCGAAAGCGUGGGGAGCAAACAGGAUUAGAUACCCGGGUAGUC
This 440-nucleotide ribosomal RNA is filed under the name uncultured bacterium. RNAcentral describes it as "partial 16S ribosomal RNA". It matches the Rfam family "Bacterial small subunit ribosomal RNA", at positions 338 to 795 of the family's 1533-position model. The record is from RNAcentral.